GUUUCUCCAUAGGCACUUCAAUGUCACACUGACUCAUUAUUCUCUUGCAAAGUUGGGCAUCAAGAGGCAGGGCAGACACUUCAAUCAUCACAUGAAUUGAAUGCAUACUUCUCACCACAAAUAACCAUACUUAAUCACAAACUAGUUGAAACCGACUAUAUCAAUACUUUUUCGCCAUUCAUUUCUAUUUGAAACAAGUUCUGCAUAAAUAUUCAAGGAUUGUAAAUCUUUGAAACUAAGAGAAUGAAAUUUGCCAAUCAAACUGUAAUCUGCUUUGAUUAUUGGCAAAGAACAUGCCUUAAGGCUGUUGCAAUCAUUCUCAUUACAGUUCAGUACCAGAGGAGAAUUACAGAUGAAAUUUGUUAUGCUAUUCAUGCACCAAAUCAGUGCGAUCAGUCAUUUACUCAGUUUUCCUCCUCAACUACUUUAAUACUUCUCAUCCGAGAACACAGAUCAUGUACCAUGUAAAAAUGGCACCACUGAUCAAUAUUUUUUAUUUGAAUCUACAAAAUUGAGUAACAUGAAUUUUUAAGGGGGGCUUACAUAACAAGCCUGUCGGAUGCCUAUCUUUAUCAUUCGGCUAAAAGGGGGCUGCUUUGUUCUAACAGCAUGAAAGUCAGAAACUUAUUGUAUCCUACGUAUUUGUUUGUCUCGUUACAUUACACGCUGUUAAUGUACAUGAUGUCCUCCUUUGAUAUCUGCAUCUUUCCUUUGUCUCGUUUACCAUUAGUUUUAGUCCGGUCUGGUUGGCCACGCUGAGAAAAACACAAACUGCCCUCAAAACCUUGCUAACCGGUAACCAUAAAGCAUUGGCAUGAUUCACACAUUCCCUCGCCGUUACAAAUGUCCCAACAUUACAGAAAACAAUUACUCUGAAUUUAUUAAGACACGAUAUGCUUACCUUCUUCAACACAAAUGCCAAAUACAAAUAAGCCACUUCCCAUUCAUCGGGCGAUAAUGUGCCUGGAUGUCCAAUGACAUAACACGAACAAAUUUUAAAAAUUAAAAAAAAAUUAAUUAAUUAAUAACGCAUGAGAAUUAGAAUCUCAAAGUCUCAACAUACACAUACCAACCAAAUAAAAGAAAGAAUUAAAUGCCUAGAGCAAGCAGCUUACUCUGGUCUUGGUUACCAUCACCCAAAGCACCAAGCCUUCGCAUCAAAUCAAUAUAUUCUGGUUUUUUCAAAUACUCAUGAACAAAUUCAUGCGCAUUCUUCACAAAAAUUAGCUCCAAAUCAUACUCUUCUGCCAAUGAUUUGAAGAUAUUGAAAGGGACAAUCCAUUCAGGACAAUCAACGGCAUCCUCCAGGUGGAACUUGUAUUUGAUACCAUAAGGGCUUGAAUGUUUAAAUUUCUGGUCCACAAAGCAAAACAUUUAUCAGAUUAGAGGCUACUUACAGCAUCAUAAUUUUAACAAUGAGAAGAAUUCACCUUUUCAGAGUACUCUUCAUCAAAUCGUAUCCAGUAGACACUAUUACCAAAAGCUAGUCCUUUAGCUGUAUAUGAAAAUUGCAUCUUCCAUCAAUAAUGAGAAUCUUUAUUUCUUGUCAGGUCAAAGCAUGAAAGUAAACACAAAGAAAACUGACACAGAAUGAAAAUAUUAGGACAACAUCCACUACAAUAAUUUAAAAAAUUCUAGGGUUUUUUAAUUAUAAUUCAGCUUCUAUCAAAUGAAACACAUUCCCAACCACUAUCCAUUUUUCCCCUUUGACAAAUAGUCAUUUUAGUGUUCUUUUUUCACACAAUUUUAGGAAUCAACAAAUAUCUUAUAAAUUGGCCAUAAAUGUCAACUGUUAAGAUACUUGCUAUAAUUGUGCCAAAGAUUGAGAUUAUGUGCUGUGAUUGCUUGCUCUAAUGGUGCCUGUGAAUAUGUCUGUAAAUGUGUCGUCAUGUAUUCUUCCUUUUCAGUGUAUAUGAAAACAGCUUAUAUACAUUAUCCCCAAUGGCCUGAGGGAAUAUCCAAGCUCUUUUUAUCCCAUAUUCUUCUUCUCAUUCUUCUCUAUUUCUCCUUCUUUUACAUCAACAAAAAAAUUUCCCUGUGAACUAAUGGAGAUUAAAGGAAAAAACAAGGAUUACUAAUUUACCAAUGGAGUGUCACCAUAUGAAAUUAAGAACCACAGACAAGUCAUGAACAUAGUCCAAAGCUUUCUCGUUCUUUGAUCUAUAAUAAUUAAAAAUACAUCUUGCAGAAUUAGCAGGGCACUAACAAAGCACUGCACCUAUUAAAGUUUAUUUGCUUCUGUAGAGAAUAUUGACAAUGUGAUUUUAGUAAAUUAUUCCUACAAUUGAUCAAUAUAGAAUGUUUAGACAAUACAUAGCAUGUUAAGAAAAAUAUGUCAUACAUAUAGGGUGGAGCUAUUUCCACAACAACUAAGGGUUUGUUCAGCAAUAUUAGCUGUUCUAGUAGCUGUUAGUUAUUCUAGUAGUAUCAGCUGUUUUACUAGACCUUGUUCAGCAAUAUUAGUUGUUCUAGUAGUUGUUAGUUGUUCUAGUAACUAUUAGCUGUUUUACUAGUUGUUAGAUAUUAGCUGUUAGUGGUCAGCUUUUUAUAUAGUAAUUUAAAACAGAAGUGUUCAGUAAAAAUAACUGUUAAAUAUAAAAAUAGUUAUAUCAUUUUGUUGAUUCUAGUCAAAACGCUCUCUCAACCUCUAAAAGUUAGGAGGAAUAGUUUUUCAUGAACCACUUCCUCAAUUUCUAAACACUACUAUAAAUACUAUCGACCCAUAUAAAUAAGAGAUGUAGUAUUUUGAUUAUAGUCAAAACACUAAACGCUACUUUAUAAGUUAUUGUUGAACAGGGUAUAAUCAUGGAAGGCUCACAUAUAAUUCUGUGAUGUCUUUCAACUGGUCACAAAUAAAACACAUACCUAAUAGGUUCUUAAUGAUUUGGUUCAAGGAGGGAGAAUUUAGAGAUGUUUCUAUGUACCCUAUUAGCGUUUUCAUGUAAAUUUUCUGCACUAACAUUUCGAAACUGCACCCUUGUGGCUGCAAAUUCAAGACUUAUGAAUGACCAAAAUGCACUUGGAAUUUGCUUGCUGAUUCCACAAAUGCAGAAAUCACACACGGAUAGAUAUCAUACAUAAGCAAUUGGGCAAAAUUUUGGCUCUCUUAUUGGUAGGAUUGAGAGGACGUCCCCUUGAGUUUACGGUUGGUUUUAAUUGCUAGUAUACAAAGAUGCAUGCUGUUUUCAUAGUUGCCCUUUAUUUUCUGAUUAUGACAAGUAAUUUGUGUAUUCAUCAUCGCUUUAUCUUUUUCUCUUCAUCGUCUUUGCUGAAAAAAAGGAGUGGCCUGAAGAGAAAUACC
This 3301-nucleotide unclassified non-coding RNA is filed under the name Hevea brasiliensis (rubber tree). Lineage: Eukaryota; Viridiplantae; Streptophyta; Magnoliopsida; Malpighiales; Euphorbiaceae. The record is from RNAcentral.